UACGGAGGAUGCAAGCGUUAUCCGGAAUGAUUGGGCGUAAAGCGUCCGCAGGUGGCUAUGUAAGUCUGCUGUUAAAGAGCAAAGCUUAACCUUGUAAAAGCAGUGGAAACUACAUAGCUAGAGUGCGUUCGGGGCAGAGGGAAUUCCUGGUGUAGCGGUGAAAUGCGUAGAGAUCAGGAAGAACACCGGUGGCGAAGGCGCUCUGCUAGGCCGCAACUGACACUGAGGGACGAAAGCUAGGGGAGCAAACGGG
RNAcentral lists this ribosomal RNA (253 nucleotides) under uncultured bacterium. Its description in RNAcentral is "partial 16S ribosomal RNA". It matches the Rfam family "Bacterial small subunit ribosomal RNA", at positions 524 to 776 of the family's 1533-position model. The record is from RNAcentral.